ACGUAAAAAGGGCAAAUCUGUUGAAAGGCAGAGACGCAAAACUAAAGGGCCUAAAACCGGUAACCGGUAAUGGCAGCCAGCUGCUACG
Eubacterium limosum KIST612 is the source of this 88-nucleotide regulatory RNA element. It matches the Rfam family "c-di-GMP-I riboswitch aptamer". Rfam says of the family: GEMM was predicted in a large-scale screen for bacterial structured RNA regulatory elements. Genes associated with GEMM are involved in a diverse array of functions, including chemotaxis regulation, signal transduction, secretion and chitin. Lineage: Bacteria; Bacillati; Bacillota; Clostridia; Eubacteriales; Eubacteriaceae. The record is from Rfam.